Rosa rugosa (rugosa rose) is the source of this 625-nucleotide long non-coding RNA. RefSeq lists it as uncharacterized. The record is from RefSeq and is a predicted model, not a curated record. NCBI's taxonomy places the organism in Eukaryota, Viridiplantae, Streptophyta, Magnoliopsida, Rosales, Rosaceae. The transcript has 3 exons.
CAUUUUGGGAAGAAAUAAAUGUUGUUUACACUUUGUUUAUUAAUAAAUUUCUGCCAAUGAUUGCAAAUUUACUGUAGUAAAUUAUAUUAUUGAAGGGAUUAUGUUGCUGUAUUUUUUUUGUUCAAAAAGAGUUUGUAACUUUGAUGUAAGCUCGUCCUGGGUCAUGUCAAAAUUAGGCAUAUGUCAACCCUCUUAGCACCUCUUUAGCUUUAUGCGACUCUAAGGGUGUUCUUCUUUUUCACUCUUAGAUUUACAAUAGAGUUUGUUAGCUGCACAUGAUAAAAGUUAUCAUCACAAUUGUUACAUCCUGAUGCGUAAUAAUCUUUUUUCUUUUUUCAAUGGGAUAGGUGCCUGUGUAGAAGUACCUUAUUGGAAUCAAGUCUUCAGGGACCCCAGAUGGGCACUGAUGGUGGAUAUCGGAAGGGAUAUUUUAUGUAUGCAAAUGCCCAACUUGUUUUAAUCAGCUGGUUUCUACCUACCCUGGAUCAUUGAUGCUAGUUUUAAUCCUGUGCCAGAUCAUACUUCAAGAGAAAGAAUCAUAAGAUCGAGACGGGGUUGUACAGAAGCCUUUAGUGGUGUCCAUUGUGAACAAUUAAGUUCGAAGCACCCAAGCUUGUGAAACUGU